CCACUACCAUUUUGCACUAAAGUACAAGUGCAGAUUAAGUGAGUUAUUCAGUUGGUUGCAACAGCAUACCACUACAGGGGUAGCUGGUCUUCUAAACAGAGCUUGGGAUAUUACUUUACUUACAUUUUUUUUUUUUUUUGAAACAGGGUCUCACUCUGUCACCUAGGCUGCAGUGCAGUGGUACAAUCACAGUUCACUGCAGCCUUGACCUCUUGGGCUCAAGCAAUCUUCCUGCCUUAGCCUCCUGAGUAGCUGGGACUACAGGUGAGCC
This 271-nucleotide long non-coding RNA is filed under the name Homo sapiens (human). RNAcentral's name for it is "non-protein coding lnc-MRPL39-15:1". The record is from RNAcentral. Lineage: Eukaryota; Metazoa; Chordata; Mammalia; Primates; Hominidae.